Molecule: non-coding RNA, 1553 nt
Organism: Arachis ipaensis
Lineage: Eukaryota; Viridiplantae; Streptophyta; Magnoliopsida; Fabales; Fabaceae
Source: RefSeq, a predicted model, not a curated record
CUGAGCACAACGUCCUUCUUCUCGCUCUCUGUUCGAGCCCACUUCCCGUCCUCAGUCGCUGUCUCUUCCCGUCCUUCCAUCGCCGUGACCCGUGACUUCUCUUCCUCCCUCGCUGCCGGUAAGCACUACUGGUUCAAUUUAUUUUCUAAGUUGCUACUAAAUAGAAGUAACAUAUUUUCAGGAGCCAAAUAGAAUUGCAAUUAUAGAUUCCAGCGUUCAUGUUAAUGACAAUGGCAGAGAGAGCAUCAACAAAAAGGUGUUCUUCAUCUUUACAGUAUAUAAUGCUUCAAACCAAAGGAAUAAGCUUAAGUUGGGAGCAAGUAGUUCAGAAGAAGCUGCAAAAUGGAUUCGUUCAUUGCAGGAUGCUGCUAUGAAGGUUCUAUUUCUUAUUAAAUGUCAUUCAUCAUAGAUAAAUUAUAAUAAUGAACUACUUGUGUAUGUUAUUAUUAUUAUGUGGUUGCAUUGCAAGAGCCUCCAAAUCUGCUGGCUUCUCCUUUGUCGAAAAAAUCAUCUCUAAGGUACAUGAUGAGAUUUAUUUAUAUAUGAUGAGCAUGCAUAUAACUAUAUAUAUAGAAAGUGUUGUAAUAAUUAUUAUUGUGAUGUGAUCUAAAAUAGAAAGGGCAGUUCAAAAAGGCCAGAUUGGAUGAAAUUCUCAUUUGACUGGCAAUCAUGAAUAUACAGUGAAGCAAUGACCUAUGAUGUUAUUGAUCAUUCACCACGGCAGAUUUUUGGUUGCUACAUUGAUAAUUACUAACUGGACUUUGCUAGGUAGAUAAUGGCUUUUGUGAACAAUGUGAAUAAUGGACUCUAAAAGUGGUCCAAUAAAAUAAAAAUACACUACACUUCUAAAUUACCCACUUAGAUCUUAAUAUUAGAAUAAUCAUCCGCACACCUAGUGAAUUAAACAUCCGAUAUAUCUAUUGUUCACAUUGUUUAGUAUUUUUAUUGUCUACCUAUACUUUUCUUUACUAAUUGAUUGUCCUCAUCAUUUCAAAUACAUAGAUAGAGUAAUAAAUAUUCAUUCGUAAUCAUAAUCUUCGCUUCGCUUAUAUAUAUAUAUAUGAUGUUGUUUGAUUAAUUUUAGAUGAGAAAGAUAUGAUGUGAUAUGAUUUUUGUACUCGUCCUCAGUGGGGUGAUAUAUUAUGGGAGUGGGUGUGGUUGAUAUAAGUUCAGAAGCUACUUUCCAUGCUCUUAUGUCUCUUGGUCCUUUAAGAUCAGAAUUUUUCUGAUGCCAAUAAUCUUGCAGAUGGGACUUUGGUGUAUACCAGGGCACUAUGGUUGAUCAUGUUAACGGUCACAGUGAUAUUAUUCACCUUCAGAUGAGAAUUAAACCACGAGAUAUGAUGUUAAGAAGGUAUUGGAGAAGAGAAGAUGAUGGCGCAUAUGGCAAGCUUAUCACUAUGUAUUCUGAGAUGGGAUGAGUUUUAUAUAUACUUAUUUAUUUAAAUGUAAUAUUUUAAUGUCUUUUGUAAUUUUUUUUGAGAGAUUUACUCAGUAUUAUAUGUAAUGGAUAAAUUACACUUUAUUUUGAUUUGUGUUAUUUGAAUUAAAAA